AGUGAACGCUGGCGGUAGGCCUAACACAUGCAAGUCGAACGGCAGCACAGUAAGAGCUUGCUCUUACGGGUGGCGAGUGGCGGACGGGUGAGGAAUACAUCGGAAUCUACUUUUUCGUGGGGGAUAACGUAGGGAAACUUACGCUAAUACCGCAUACGCCCUACGGGUGAAAGCAGGGGAUCUUCGGACCUUGCGCGAUUGAAUGAGCCGAUGUCGGAUUAGUUAGUUGGCGUGGUAAAGGCCCACAAAGGCGACGAUCCGUAGACUGUCUGAGGGGAUGAUCAGCCACACGGGAACUGAGACACGGUCCAGACUCCUACGUGAGGCAGCAGUGGGGAAUAUUAGACGAUGGGCGCAAGCCUGACCCAGCCAGACCGCGUGGGUGAAGAAGGCCUUCGGGUUGUAAAGCCCUUUUGUUGGGAAAGAAAAGCAGCAGGUUAAUACCCCGAUGUUCUGACGGUACCCAAAGAAUAAGCACCGGCUAACUUCGUG
Molecule: ribosomal RNA, 492 nt
Filed under: uncultured bacterium
Lineage: Bacteria
Description: partial 16S ribosomal RNA
Rfam family: Bacterial small subunit ribosomal RNA
Source: RNAcentral